CCCUUUGUUUUUGUACAGGGGCACUACUGUACUCCACCUCCACUCAUCCGGCAUCCUUUUGGUCCUAAAGAUCGUAUUGAACAACCUGGAGAGCCACUCCGCUCUUAACCUACUCAUGCACUUCCAGAACUCCACCGGGAUCUUGUCAUGCCCGGUCGCUCGACCCCUACUCAUCCUACGCAAAGCCCCCAUGACCUCCUCCGCCCUAACGCGCCUACAGUACCCAAGGU
This 230-nucleotide long non-coding RNA is filed under the name Nicotiana benthamiana. Its description in RNAcentral is "long non-coding RNA (NBEN_LNC018407)". Lineage: Eukaryota; Viridiplantae; Streptophyta; Magnoliopsida; Solanales; Solanaceae. The record is from RNAcentral.